CUCGUAGGCGGUUAGACACGUCGGAUGUGAAAACUGGGGGCUCAACCCCCAGCCUGCAUUCGAUACGGUCUGACUAGAGUGUGGUAGGGGUAACUGGAAUUCCUGGUGUAGCGGUGAAAUGCGCAGAUAUCAGGAGGAACACCGAUGGCGAAGGCAGGUUACUGGGCCACCACUGACGCUGAGGAGCGAAAGCGUGGGGAGCAAACA
RNAcentral lists this ribosomal RNA (207 nucleotides) under uncultured bacterium. RNAcentral describes it as "partial 16S ribosomal RNA". It matches the Rfam family "Bacterial small subunit ribosomal RNA", at positions 568 to 774 of the family's 1533-position model. The record is from RNAcentral.